RNAcentral lists this ribosomal RNA (253 nucleotides) under uncultured bacterium. RNAcentral describes it as "partial 16S ribosomal RNA". It matches the Rfam family "Bacterial small subunit ribosomal RNA", at positions 524 to 776 of the family's 1533-position model. The record is from RNAcentral.
UACGUAGGGACCAAGCGUUGUCCGGAAUCAUUGGGCGUAAAGAGCGUGUAGGCGGCUUGUUAAGUCUUGCGUGAAAUCUCGGGGCUUAACCCUGGGCCUGCAGUGGAUACGGGCAGACUAGAGGUAGGUAGGGGAGAAUGGAAUUCCCGGUGUAGCGGUGAAAUGCGCAGAUAUCGGGAGGAACACCGGUGGCGAAGGCGGUUCUCUGGGCCUUACCUGACACUGAGGAGCGAAAGCGUGGGGAGCGAACAGG